GAUGAAGAACGUAGCGAAAUGCGAUAAGUAAUGCGAAUUGCAGAAUUUCCGUGAGUCAUCGAAUCUUUGAACGCACAUUGCGCCCACUGGUAUUCCGGUGGGCAUGCCUGUUCGAGCGUCAUUAUCCUCCCUCAAACCCCGGGUUUGGUGUUGGACCCAAGUUGUGUGAACAACUGGUCUCAAAGACAAUGACGGCGUCCGUGGGACCCUCGGUGCAACGAGCUUUUAGGAGCACGCAUCGAGUUGCAAGGACCUUCCGGGCCGGUCUCCUUUACCAUUUUACAAGGUUGACCUCGAAUCAGGUAGGAAUACCCGCUGAACUUAAGCAUAUCAAUAAGCGGAGGA
This 345-nucleotide unclassified non-coding RNA is filed under the name soil metagenome. RNAcentral describes it as "partial contains 5.8S ribosomal RNA, internal transcribed spacer 2, and large subunit ribosomal RNA". The stretch from base 1 to 121 matches the Rfam family "5.8S ribosomal RNA", at positions 35 to 154 of the family's 154-position model. The record is from RNAcentral.